GCAAAGUUACAUAAAAAGAUUCAAACGUUAGGAGAAGCACAACGCAUUUGCACGUUGAAGAGACAGCAUGUGCCCCUCAAGACAAUGGAGGGGCAAAAUGCUUUUAUCAGUUUUACUAGCGAUAUGUUCAGCAACACUUAUUAAUAGCGCUCCAACAAAAGAAGUAGCACCAGUUGCAUGUGUUAUACCACCACCAG
This is a long non-coding RNA of Papilio xuthus (Asian swallowtail), 197 nucleotides long. RefSeq lists it as uncharacterized. The transcript has 4 exons. The record is from RefSeq and is a predicted model, not a curated record. Lineage: Eukaryota; Metazoa; Arthropoda; Insecta; Lepidoptera; Papilionidae.